GAACCACAGGGAUUGCCCUAGUAACGGCGAGUGAAGCGGCAACAGCUCAAAUUUGAAAUCUGGCGCAAGCCCGAGUUGUAAUUUGUAGAGGAUGCUUCUGGGUAGCGACCGAUCUAAGUUCCUUGGAACAGGACGUCAUAGAGGGUGAGAAUCCCGUAUGUGACCGGCCCGCACCCUUUACGUAGCUCCUUCGACGAGUCGAGUUGUUUGGGAAUGCAGCUCUAAAUGGGAGGUAAAUUUCUUCUAAAGCUAAAUACCGGCCAGAGACCGAUAGCGCACAAGUAGAGUGAUCGAAAGAUGAAAAGUACUUUGGAAAGAGAGUUAAAAAGCACGUGAAAUUGUUGAAAGGGAAGCGCCUGCAACCAGACUUCGUGGCAGUGUUCCGCCGGUCUUCUGACCGGUUCAUUCUCUGUCGCGAGGCCAUCAUCGUCUGGGCCCGCCGGAUAAGACCUGAGGAAUGUGGCUCCCCCUCGGGGGAGUGUUAUAGCCUCUGGUGAUGCGGCGAGGCUCGGGCGAGGUCCGCGCUUCGGCAAGGAUGAUGGCGUAAUGGUUGUCGGCGGCCCGUCUUGAAACACGGACCAAGGAGUCUAACAUCUAUGCGAGUGUUCGGGUGUCAAACCCCUACGCGUAAUGAAAGUGAACGGAGGUGGGAACCGCAAGGUGCACCAUCGACCGAUCCUGAUGUCCUCGGAUGGAUUUGAGUAAGAGCAUAGCUGUUGGGACCCGAAAGAUGGUGAACUAUGCCUGAAUAGGGUGAAGCCAGAGGAAACUCUGGUGGAGGCUCGCAGCGGUUCUGACGUGCAAAUCGAUCGUCAAAUUUGGGUAUA
Molecule: ribosomal RNA, 827 nt
Filed under: Cercospora coniogrammes
Lineage: Eukaryota; Fungi; Ascomycota; Dothideomycetes; Mycosphaerellales; Mycosphaerellaceae
Description: eukaryotic LSU rRNA
Rfam family: Eukaryotic large subunit ribosomal RNA
Source: RNAcentral